This is a long non-coding RNA of Oncorhynchus tshawytscha (Chinook salmon), 383 nucleotides long. The record is from Ensembl. NCBI's taxonomy places the organism in Eukaryota, Metazoa, Chordata, Actinopteri, Salmoniformes, Salmonidae.
GUUGUAUGUGUUGUGCUGGAGGUUGUAUGUGGUGUGCUGGAGGUUGUAUGUGUGGUGCUGGAGGUUGUAUGUGUGGUGCUGGAGGUUGUAUGUGUGGUGCUGGAGGUUGUAUGUGGUGUGCUGGAGGUUGUAUGUGUGGUGCUGGAGGUUGUAUGUGUGGUGCUGGAGGUUGUAUGUGUGGUGCUGGAGGUUGUAUGUGUUGUGCUGGAGGAUGUAUGUGUGGUGCUGGAGGUUGUAUGUGUGGUGCUGGAGGUUGUAUGUGUUGUGCUGGAGGUUGUAUGUAGUGUGCUGGAGGUUGUAUGUGUUGUGCUGGAGGUUGUAUGUGUUGUGCUGGAGGUUGUAUGUGUUGUGCUGGAGGUUGUAUGUGUUGUGCUGGAGGUUGU